UCGAGAAUUUUUCUCAAUGGGGGCAACCCUGAAGGAGCGACGCCGCGUGAAGGAUGAAGGUCUUCGGAUCGUAAACUUCUGUCAUUGGUGAACAAGGCCCACGCAGUAACUGGUGUUGGGAUUGAUAGUAGCCGAAGAGGAAGAGACGGCUAACUCUGUGCCAGCAGCCGCGGUAAUACAGAGGUCUCGAGCGUUGUUCGGAUUCAUUGGGCGUAAAGGGUGCGUAGGUGGCGAGGUAAGUCUGGUGUGAAAUCCCGGGGCUCAACCCCGGAACUGCACUGGAUACUGCCCUGCUUGAGUACUGGAGAGGAGAUUGGAAUUUACGGUGUAGCAGUGAAAUGCGUAGAUAUCGUAAGGAAGACCAGUGGCGAAGGCGAAUCUCUGGACAGUUACUGACACUGAGGCACGAAGGCCAGGGGAGCAAACGG
Molecule: ribosomal RNA, 428 nt
Filed under: uncultured bacterium
Lineage: Bacteria
Description: bacterial SSU rRNA
Rfam family: Bacterial small subunit ribosomal RNA
Source: RNAcentral